Molecule: non-coding RNA, 71 nt
Organism: Phrynosoma platyrhinos (Desert horned lizard)
Lineage: Eukaryota; Metazoa; Chordata; Lepidosauria; Squamata; Phrynosomatidae
Source: the annotation of a GenBank genome assembly
GCCAGCAUGGUGUAGUGGUUUCAGUGAUGGACUAAGAUUCUGAAGACCAGGGUUCGAAUCCUGGCUUGGCC